GUCCUUUUGAUUUUUAUAUAAGGUCUGACCUGCCCUAUGAAUAUUUAAAUGGCCGCGGUAUACUAACCGUGCAAAGGUAGCAUAGUCAUUUGUCUCUUAAUUGGAGGCUUGAAUGAAGGGUUGGACGAGAUAUAAGCUUUCUUUAUUAUAUUUUAUUGAAUUUGACUUUUGAGUUAAAAGGCUUAAAUUUUUUUAUAGGACGAGAAGACCCUAUAGAAUUUUAUAUAUUUGUGUAAUUGAUUUAUUUAUUUAUUAUUUAAUUUCUUGUUUAAAUAUAUUUUGUUGGGGCGAUGGGAAGAUUUUAAUAACUCUUUUUUGUUUUGAUCAUUGAUUUAUGUUUUAUUCUGAUCCUUUUUUAGAGAUUAUAAGAUUAAAUUACCUUAGGGAUAACAGCGUAAUUCUUUUGGAGAGUUCUUAUCGAUAAAAGAGUUUGCGA
This 436-nucleotide ribosomal RNA is filed under the name Appasus japonicus. RNAcentral describes it as "partial 16S rRNA". The record is from RNAcentral. Lineage: Eukaryota; Metazoa; Arthropoda; Insecta; Hemiptera; Belostomatidae.